Molecule: long non-coding RNA, 210 nt
Organism: Haliotis rubra (blacklip abalone)
Lineage: Eukaryota; Metazoa; Mollusca; Gastropoda; Lepetellida; Haliotidae
Exons: 3
Source: RefSeq, a predicted model, not a curated record
GAAACACACCCAGUCACGAUCAAGGCAGUGAAUAGACAAGAUAAAACCAAGAAGCUAUUCCUGGGACAUAUCUCUGAGUUCCAUUAUGUGAGCCUGAAUGAACUAGGACAAAUUUGCAGGGAUUGUCACUUGGAGUUGUCGGUGUGCCAAUGCGUGGACAACAUUAAUGCAAGUGACACAAGAUCAUCCCCACCUGGUUAUGGCAGUGAA